AUCAGCUCCGCGCCGACAGGCCCCGCCCACUCCAGCACUAGUGUGACUGACGGUGCGGCUCCAGCUGCUCGCUCUGUUUACGGUCCGCCUGUCCCGUAUGUGCGUGAUUCACCUGCUCAAACGCUCCUGAAGAUCCGCUGGAGUUUAACACGGGCCGGGCUGGAAGUGUUUUAUUCCCGUCUGGAUGAGUCAGUGUGUCUGUUCUGGACAUUUAAUCUGUAGCAAUUCCGCAUGAUCACUGCUGGAAUGACACACACAGCUCCUUAACGAGCAGCCACACUCUCCAUGAACAGGAACUGGUGAGACAGGUGCAGAAGAUCUUCAUGAUGGAUGAAAGUGCUGUGAAUGAGUCUAAUGUGAAAGUGGCGGUCCGGGUGCGACCCAUGAACAGGAGAGAACGAGACUUAAAAACAAAAUGUGUUGUGGACAUGGAAGGAAAUCAGACCAUCCUGUACCCGGCCAAUGGAAACCUGGGAAAGGGCGAC
Molecule: long non-coding RNA, 485 nt
Organism: Sinocyclocheilus rhinocerous
Lineage: Eukaryota; Metazoa; Chordata; Actinopteri; Cypriniformes; Cyprinidae
Exons: 4
Source: RefSeq, a predicted model, not a curated record